Long non-coding RNA from Trichoplusia ni (cabbage looper), 8503 nucleotides. RefSeq lists it as uncharacterized. The record is from RefSeq and is a predicted model, not a curated record. Lineage: Eukaryota; Metazoa; Arthropoda; Insecta; Lepidoptera; Noctuidae. The transcript is spliced from 2 exons.
AGUUUAUUCAUAAUUCACGAAUCUUAUUGGCAAGACGCGGAGAGUCUUAUAAGUAUGUCGCCGGUUUUAGUGCAUUAACAUCAACAGGUGAUGGCGGCUAUCAUUAUAGGUUUACCCGUGUCUAAUUGGACAUUAUGUCGAUGUAGGCGAUUAUACAAAACUUAACUACUUUUACUAUACUUACUGAGGUGUCUACAUUUAGUCCGCAAGUGCAUCGUUUGAGUUAGGUAGCAACCUAUAAAUAUAUUCCCUUUUCUGCUAUAAAUUAAAAUGUAGGCAUAAAUGUUAUUGUUAAGAGACCUACAUAAUGAAUAACCAGGUCUGUUAGAUCUUUGUUCUAUUCCCGUAUGCUCGAUUAGGUACCAAUACUAGGAAAACUUGCUGCUAGUACCUAGCUUACGCCCUAUUGAUACAAUUGCUCUUGGUACUUACAGUAACAAAACUCCUAUAUAUACUUAAAUCUAGAUAAUAUGUGACAAUAACUGAAUUUACCAGGGGCCACGUAUCAUCUUGUACUUUGCUCGAAGCUGGCGAUGAAGGUACCUACUAUAUUAUGUAUAAUAGUCAUAUUUUAUGUGUCAGCCUAUCUACUCAGGACCAACUAAACCAUUCCAAUGCAAUUGACCAAGGUUUACGUGUCUAAAUCGGUAGUACCCGUGUUGAGUAAGUUUCUAGUAAAUACCUACUUACUUAAAACUUCAUAAGAGGUAGCAGAUGAUUGGGCAGGUAUAUAUCACUUACUAACCAUUCUAAAUUUUAUAUUCUCAAGCAACUCUUCUUUUUAAUAGCUAGGUACCGUCCUGCGUCACAUCACACAAAUCAAUAAAUCAGUAACUUCUUUUGUUUCUAUUUACUACUGUUUACAAUGAAUGCAUAACCAAAACUAAGAAAACCCGUUUUUGUAUGUUUACAUGUCAAUAAACUGCAAGUAUAUCAUUUACACUCACACACGGCCCUCUAUCAAACUAGGCAAGGCCUUAUUAAAAACACAACUGUUCAAAUGUUGUUGAUAAACACUCUUGAUAUAUUUUACGAAUAGAAAAACGUCUUGCGGGAAGAAACUCAAAUCCGCGACCUUCGGCUUGACAGUUAGUUUCACUAAACCCAUUAAUCUCAUAGUACAUACAAAUUAAAAAGGUGAAAUAAUGUCCGUUCAGUUUGAAAACAAAAUGUAAAUGAUUUCGGAAUAAUACAAACACAACAAAAUGCUUAUUUGAAUUAGUUAUAAAUAAUCUCACUCAUAGGUAAGAGCUUUAGCUCAACCACAGCAUGAAACACGGCCGAAAGAUAAUAAAAGGGACAGCAAACACGUGGUGUCUACAAGCAAAGGGAUUUACAAACUUUAAGAUCGAUGAUACUGCUCUUUCACAAUUAGUGUUGUUACAACAAUCAAUACAAACAUGCAAGGCAAGCAAUUAAUUUUAAAUCAUAAGAUAAUGUUUAGGGAAUAUCGCUCGAUAAUAUUUAAAAACAAUUAAUAAAAAGCUGCUUUCUCAAUCAGCCAACUAUCGAAGAUACCAAUAAAGUUUUAUUAAAACUUAACUAUCAAUUUUAUUACUACAUAGACAUCGUUUUUUUUACUUCUAUAUUAUCGAUUUCUGAACACGGAUCUUUUUUCCGUCAACGUUGUUAGAUUUUUAUUUAAAAAUCUUUGUAAAGACAAAUAAUGAAUUAUAAAUAGACGUUGUCUUUUUAAAGGAUUGUUUCCUCUUUUUUAUAAUAUCGUCCGUCAAACUUUUAUCUUAGGCUGGACUAAAUAAAGCUUUAGGUUUUGUUAGCCAUCAAAUAUUGCUUUGAAACAAUUCAAGAACGGUUUUAAUGUAAAUUUAGAAUGUUGAAUAAAAACUGCUUAUUUAAUUGUCAAUUACAUCAUUAGUAUCAGCGAGGAAAAAACAGGAAAAUAAUUAGUGUCUCUUUACCCUUAUCACAAACAUAAUUGUGGAGUGCCACAGGGUAGCCCGUUGGGAGCCUUAUUAUCAAUAUUUAUUAUUGACGUAACCAAUAUAACUUUACUCAAAUUGUAUUUUAUAUGCAAACUAGGCGAUGUCCGCACUGAAACUGUAGUCCGCGCAAUUUUUAAUGAUGUUCAACACAUCUCCCUUAACCUUGUCGUAAAAUAUUAAUAAUUUAGAUGAUUCCUUUACUUUACUUGUAAACUUAGACUUGGUAAAUUUAAAACUACAACUACUUCCAACCCCUUCUUUAGGCCCCUAUGUAGACUUUUUUUAAAUCAUGCUAUACGUCGUUCUUUUGCCAAACAAGUACCUACAUUCUUAUCGAUAAAGCUUCAAUAUGAGCUCAUCAAACUGGCUUCCUUUACGAGCGAUUUUCCAAUAAUAUUUUCUGUGACUGGCUGACCUAUGAUACAAAAGGAACGCACAGUACAAAAUUUCGAGUUACAAAUCCAAGUAAAAUUAGGCUGUGCGAUCAAAUCUUUAAUUGGUUUCGAAUCGAUUCAUUAUAUCAAAUCUCAUCUCAUCUAAAUGAAAUACUAAUACUUCAGAUGUUUUAUUCUGAUCCCGUUGAAUAUCAUCACACCAUUGUCGUCUUCCGUAAAUCAUUGCUAUUUGCACGAUUGAUAUCACAAGGAACUCCCAAGUACUCGGUCACUCAGUUGUCACUGCCGAGAUUGGACUAUUAUUCUGAGAUUCCAAUUCAAGGUGAUCUCGUAGCUGCACUCACAUGGUUGCAAUUGAGUAUAUUGCUACUCUGUAUUGUUAAGUCAUAUAUCCAAGUUCGUUGGAAAAUAUUCUGAUUCAUACCCCGUUACCAUUUCACGAAACAUGUUGUUAUAUAAACGUAUAUCACUUAUUUUACUUGUAUUCAUAAAACAUGAAAGUUUUAUCUCAAAUAGAUGCUGCUUAAGUUUUGAUCAUUGCUGAUUUGAUAUAACACUACUUAUCUAAAAAAAUGCGAUUUGAUAUACACAUUAUACACACACUUGCCACUAAUAAUUUUUAGAUCACUAAGAAAAUUUCUAAUUAUCCUCAAAUUUCCAUCACUUACUGGGUAUACGCUGCUAAACCAGUGAAACAGAAUUAGAGAUUCUCAACUUGCAUCUUCAUAUCAUUCAUCGACCCUAGAGGGCUAGUUGAGAUUCGCAUGUGAAUAAAACAUACUAACAGUCCUCAUUCUGUUAGAUCCGAUGCAAAGUAAAAUCAUCGUAACCGCUGUAGGGCUUGGCAGUUAUUGGUUAUGCAUGGAGAUCUUUUUGGUAUCGAAGACAGAUUGUUGUUUACCCAAAUCCUAAAGAGGUUUUAGGUAAUAGCGACAAAACUGGUAGAAAUAAUUAUCGUUGCAUCAAGAUUCUGCGCUUUGGCUACAACACUUGACUGCUUGGCCACUGACACUAAAAUACUUGCACAAAGUUACUAAAGAAUAGCGAUGAGUUGCGUGGUAAGGGGGACUCGUUAACUAACAACGGGUAGGGUCCACAAAUCAACGAUAUUGUUUGAUUGCACCACGAGUAGGUCAUACCGCAGGGCUGAGCUUCCAAAGUGUAACGAUUUUAAUUAUGUUAAUAAAAAUAUAAUUCUAAAAACUAGAAUAAAAUAAAUAUUUAAGGGACAACAACAAACAUAUUUUUAUGGAUAUACGGAUAUAUUUCGUGAAGUGCAGCAAUUUUACAAGAUUAGCGCUAAAGAAGAAUAUACUUAAGGUUCGUCUUGCGGCCUGCGACAGAAAACCCCUAGCAUUAUACAUCAUUACAUAUAUUUUUUUCUUCAACAAGACCUUGUGAAAAAUCCGAAUAAUGUCGAGUAAUUAUUAAAAAAUACAUUCUAUCGCCACCACAACGAGAUUUUGUCAUAUAAAACUUUGCUAAAAUAAGGGGCGUUGUUCUGGAAGGGCUGUUAGUGUAGGGUGACACCCCUAGUGCUUGCAACUGUUGCUCUCGGUGAAAGGUCAUUGAUACUAUUUUACCUAAUGUAGUUGGGAGUUCGAGAGAUGCGGUGAAUGCCACAAUCGAGUUUGUAUACAAUAAUAAUUUGAUCUUUAACGGCAAGCACAGAAAAAAAAGUCAUUUUUGUAAAAUCUAGUUUUACAUAAUGCGUAUAUUAUGACUUGUCUAUGAUAGAGUACACAUUCGGCAGCUCAGGAGAAUGUCUGGCUUGCCAGGCCAUUCAAAGCAUUGGGGCAUUGUAGACAAAAUUGUGCUAGGAUAGGAUAGUGGGCAAUCUCAACAUGGAGCAUAUGAACAUCGCUUAACGAUAGCAUCUUAUCGGCAAAGUCCUAAUUAUUUGUGUAACGGUAUUUCUUACUUCAGGCUAUCCCAUAUUCGAUUAUUAUCAUCAGUAUUUUUACAUGACUACAGAUUUUCAGCACCUGUUAUUUAAAUGCAUAUAGAUGAUUAUAGUGGUUUAGUAUCGUAUUUUUAUUUAUAAACAUUGAUCCCCAUCCUUUGGGUAUUAAUUAGUUGAUGUUCGUUUAGGGCCUCGUGUUCGGCGCGUGUAUGAAAUGACUAAAAAGCUGUAACUUUUUGUGCAGCACUCAUAAUUCACUUGCAAAUAAAGGGUUCAACGAGUUUGCAAGAUGCAUCGCCAAGAAAGGUUUAGUUCGCUUUCAGAAAGUCUGCAGGGGGGUUAAGGGGCGAGAGAGAGAGAGGCGGCGAUCGGCACGUGUUCGACGCGUGGACCUGUCCGGGAAAUGAAUUAACUGAGUUGCGCACCUGCCGAUACCGCGCCGGCCCGGUGUCUUAUCUACUUCACCGCUAUUUUAUUACUCGACUAUACUUUUUAGCCAAAUACCUUAGUAUCCAAUUUUUGAUAGCGCUCAAGUUGUUCUGCCGUCUUCUUAAGAGGACAUUAGAAACACCGAACACGCAAAUAUCGGUCCAAACUGACUCAAGGUCUUUGAAUAGCCUUGAGCAAAUCCGGAAUAUUGUAUUCUCCUUGUUGACUCACACUCUUAAAAAACAGAUGGUAGAUAGUACAGCUUAACUAUGUGCCUUAAGAAUUUAUUUCGUGGUAAUGUUUAAUUUUAUAUUACACCUUAAAUAGCUAGAAGUAGAUCUUGUGUAACAUAUUCGCAUGAAAACCCCUUGUACCAUAAACAUUGCCCUAAUGCCGACAUCCUCGUCGGUACCGCAGUACAUCUCAUAUAACAUGAAACAGAAAAUCCUUUACACUCUACACUAUACUCGAUUCCCUAGAAAGAACAAUUUAUAGCGCAUCGUUGCAAAAACGACGUAUGACUAAUUAUAAUCAAAAUCGGUAUUGAUAUCCUGCAUCAAAAACCCCAUCGAAUGGAUAUCGGUUACCCCUUUUGAAACAAAUUGUAUUUAAAUUUGAUCUGACUACCCGAAAAAUCCAGUCAAAUCGAUUGUGUCUUUGGGAAAUGUCAAUGUGUGUUUCUUUCCUAUUUAUCUGUAGCUCAUUUGCCUAAAGUUGAAUUUAACCUGUUUCACUUUCUAUAUCUUACUUUUGCUUUCUGGUAACGAUCUUACUUUUCACGUUUUUCUUUUAAUUGUUAAGUUUUGUUCGAGUUUGAGUGAUUCUGAUUGUUUAUAUUGAUCCAUUUGAUGAUACUGUGGCACCGCGUAACAAGGACCGUAAAGCGCCACGAUAUUAAGUUUAAAAUGGGGCGCCCGUCGCGGUAGCCAUAACUCAGUUCGUGUGCGGGCGCGCCGUGUCAGGUGUCCGCGCACAUUGAUGCUGCUUGUGUUACCAACUAAUUGUACGUAGUUACUAUAAUAAUUAUAUUUACAAAAACUAAUUGAUAUAUCAUAUAACAAGCAUCACAAAUCUUUUGAUGUAAGUUGAACCUUUACAGCUGCCUAAAAUUAGCCUACUUCUUAAAAUCGACCUUUUUACUACAUUACAUAAUAAGGUUUUAGUUAUUAAAGACAUAAGAUAUGUAACCUGCACUUAGUAAUUAAGGAUCACGGAGAAAAACUAUACCAAUAAACAUCGAAUUUUUCACAAUAUUAGUAGCUCAUCCUCUUCUUCUCUUCGUAUCUAUCUUCUAAAGUUUUGGUGUCCUACUAAACUGACCUCUAAGUACUAAUAUUAUUCCAUACCUCUCAAAGACAUGAUUAGCUAGCCUUAAAUUAGCCUGAUAAAGUGAAGAGUAAGUUACUAAAAGGGAAGAAGAGCUUUUCUUUGGUCUUUAAAUUUAUCUGGCUGGUUAUUUAUAAAAUUGAUAUGACGGAAACCAUCGGCAUUUUGCUAAUUCGUCCUUAAUUUUUACCCUUCUGGUUAAAUCACAUAAGGUUGUGUAGUGUGUGUCCGUUGUAAGCGUAGAGAUCAAUGUCUUGCUCCGACGCUCAGUAUGCUUGUUAAGUUCAACCUUUUAAACAUCACCUGAUUUAAAUUGUGCAGCAGUAGUAGACAAUAUAGUAAAGCUGCCGUGGUAUUUAGCUAAUUUUCUAACCUUGAUCUAAAAUAGUCGUUCCAUGUACAAUUAAGAUUAGUUUACCAGAUCAACUCGAAUCUACCGGGGUUAUCAAAACUUUCAAGAUAUGCACCCCGUGCAUGCAGGGUGUAAUGCGGUUUUAUUGGAUUCUUCAAAUUAGGUCCGCUUUUUUAUUUUGCGCGUGUUGCACCUAGUUCAACCCACUUACACUAACCGUCUUCGAGUCAAGAGUCUACAUACUAACAUGUUGCACAUACAGGGGCUUCGUGACCGGAAAGUAAUAUGCCAAUCUUUUGUCUUUCAUCCAUAAAUUUUGGAUUUUAUUUCAGUUGGCUAGUCUAGAUCAAAUUAUCGCGCCUCCUAACUUGUAUAAUUUGAUACUUCAUACUAUAUUUCCUAUUAAAAACUUGGAUUUUAGAAGGAUAUAUAAUAGACAUCAUAAAAAUAUUAAUGUAGCUGUUGGCAAAAAGACUGCAAUCUUUGAUCAAAAACUUAAAUUUUCAGGGUUUUAAGUAAGCAAAUUUCAGUAUCCACCUGCUUACCUUCUUAUUUCACCGUUAUUUCUUAUGGGAUGUAAAUUCAUAGAUAAGUAUCAACUCAAAAUAGCUACUUUGAAGCUUCACAAAAAACAUAAAACCCAUUAUUAAUAGGUAAUUAAUUUUAUUCAUUUUACGUGUAUUUUUUGUACAAUUGUGUAAAAUAGAAGAAAAUAAGCUUAAAUAGUGAAUAUAGAGGUCAUGAAAACGAAAGUCUUCACAUUAGAUAAGAUAUUUUUCAUGUAGUGUAGGUAUUGAAAUUAACGGAAAGUACUUGAUCAUUGACAACCGUGAUGUUGAUAGAUAUGGUUUCAUAGAAGUAAGGCGCGAAGAGGCGGGGUGGAUGCAUGUGCACUCUAGGGGCAAGGGGUGUGGCCGGCUCGCCAUUGGCUCGUGUCGCUGAUUCCUGUACAACGUGCAAGGGUUGUAACCGCUAGAGAUAUCCUACCUAACUAGUGAUCAUCGGCUUAUGCCCGGUUCCUAUAACUUACGAGCCGUCAUUGGGAAAAUGUAACCAUCCGUAAUCUAGUUACCAUUACCAAUGCAAAACUAGCGUUCCACAACGCCCUACCUGCAACGAGCAUCCGUAGCUAACCCGCCUACGACUCGUUCGCUAAUGUCCCUCUCGUUCCUCUUUACGUUUAGUUACAAGAAAACAUUGUACAUCAGUCAUGCAAAAAAAAUCAUACGUUUUCAUAUUUUAAAUAAGUAUUAGAACAAAUUACCGUACAAUUACAAUAAUAAUUUGAUUUACCUUGACAUUUAAGCUUAAAAUAAGUUUACAUUCUUAGUAUAGCAAGUUUGAUGUUACGUAUGCAAGGGGUAGACAAAACGCGUGACAAUACAAUGCGAACCCCGUAUCGCAUGACAUUGACAUCUGUCUUCCCGUCUUCCGUGUCCGUCCGCGUCUUUAAAAUAAAAUUGUUAUUAAUUUGUUUUAUAGCUCCUUGUUUAUACGCGCACCGUCUAGUUUUAUUUCUAGGGACAUUGACACAAAUUCAAACAGUAACUAAAAUAAAAUGGAUUCUACUCCGUCGGUAAGUAAUAGUUUAACUGUAGUUUAACUCACACAAAAAUACAUCAGUUUUGUCACAGGUAUGAGCACUGUUAUUUUAUUUUACAGAAAAAUAAAGCCAUGAGUAAAGACGAAAUCCAGUGUCUUGUGGAAUUAGUAGAGGCAAACAAAAUUAUCGUAAGUAAAGAGACGAAUGCCUCUACUAAUAGACUUAAAGAUGAAGCAUGGGUUUCAUUAACAGCUGCUUUUAAUGCCAGAAAUGGAACAAUCCCCAGGCAAAAAGAACAAUUGAAGUCCAAGUGGGACAAUUUAAAAAAAGCAGCUCGUAAAAGAGCCCAACAAAUCAGAAUGAACCAUUUAAAGACUGGUGGUGGAAAGCCCGACUACAUACCGCCUGAUGAAACGUUAAGUAAAGUAGAAUCCUUAUUGGGUUCAACAUGUAAUGGCUUUGUUGUGCCUUUUGGUGGGAAUGGUGUGGGUGAUGUAGGUGAUAACAUUGUGGUGCAGGUUUUUAAUGAAAUUGGUGACAGUCCUAGUGCUGGCAUUAUAACUAAUGAAAAAAUUAAUGAUGACUUGGUUUUUACCCCUACUACGAGUGGAG